GGGAGGAGUCCAGGAGGC
RNAcentral lists this microRNA (18 nucleotides) under Rattus norvegicus (Norway rat). RNAcentral's name for it is "rno-miR-3584-5p". The record is from miRBase by way of RNAcentral. Lineage: Eukaryota; Metazoa; Chordata; Mammalia; Rodentia; Muridae.